CAGGUUGGCUAUAAAUAACAGAUCAAGACUGGAUCCACCCUUGUCCCCAGAUUACUUUGGGAACUCAAUUCAAACCGUGAGAGCAGUAACUACAGCUGGUGAACUGGUCGAGCAGAAUCUUGGAUGGGCUGCUUGGCAAUUGCACCUAGCUGUGGUUAACCACACAGACAAAUCAGUGCGUGGCUUUGUCAAUGAUUGGCUUCGUUCACCGUUUAUUUACCAGCUUGGUCAGUUUUUUGAUCCACAAAGUGUAAUGAUGGGAAGCUCACCAAGAUUCAACAAGUACGGAAAUGAGUUUGGGUUGGGGAAAGCACUGGCACUCCGCAGUGGAUAUGCUCAUAAGUUUGAUGGGAAGGUUUCCUCAUAUCCAGGACGCGAAGGUGGAGGAAGCAUAGACUUGGAGGUCUGCCUUCC
This 414-nucleotide long non-coding RNA is filed under the name Theobroma cacao (cacao). Its description in RNAcentral is "long non-coding RNA (TCAC_LNC004676)". Lineage: Eukaryota; Viridiplantae; Streptophyta; Magnoliopsida; Malvales; Malvaceae. The record is from RNAcentral.